Long non-coding RNA from Anas platyrhynchos (mallard), 903 nucleotides. RefSeq lists it as uncharacterized. Lineage: Eukaryota; Metazoa; Chordata; Aves; Anseriformes; Anatidae. The record is from RefSeq and is a predicted model, not a curated record.
UGGGGUGAGCUGGGCUGGGGGUGUCCAGGGGAGCUGGGGGCACCGUCGGUGGGGGAUGUGGGGCUGUUCCCCACGGGGUGGCUGCCUCUGGCACCGCUGGGUGCUCUUACCCAUUUCCCUGCGCUAGAGUUAAUUAAAAGAUGCCAUCAGCUCUGGAUGUCCCCAGGACGUGACCGAGCACCUCACCGCUGCCCAGGCUGGGCCCCGCUCAGCAGCCCGUGAAGGGAGCAAUGAAUCACAGAUCCCUUUGGGUCCCGCUCGGCUCUGCCUGCACCGUCAGCGCUUCCCCUUCGGAGGAAAUAAUUAAGCGAAAAGUUGCCAUAAAGCACGUGAAGGAGGGGCUGGCUGGAGGCAGGGGGCAGCCCGUGUGCAGGAGGGGCUGUCCUCGGGGGGCACGAGGCUUCCAAAAGCAAAGGCAGCAGCCAGGGGAGAGCUUCCCAACCUCCUCGUGUCCCCGUGUGUCCAGCUGCAGCCAGCGGUGGGGGGGGGCUUGGUCCCAUCGUGUGCCCUGCAGGAGUGCAGUGGGCUCGGCGUUGCCGCGUGCUCAAAUUAUCCUCGCUUUUCAGCGCCAAAUAUUCAUCUCCGUUUUCAGCCCUCUUGUCUUUUUUCCUAAAAUUAACAUUUAUUUCAGACAUAAUCUAACCUGCCUGCAGUGCCGCGUUACAAAGAGCGCUCCCCUGGGAAGGGAUUUCAGCCUCCUUUGUUCCCGAGGUUCUCGAAAAAAGGUGAUUUUUCCCCCCAAAUCCUCACCGGCAGCCGUUAUCCCGGGUGCCUCUCGUUACCCUGUCUCUGCUCUGUGUUUCCUGCUGGAUGUAUUAUUCCCCCUCUGCCCAUUUCUGUUGCUUUUUAACUUCCUGAUGCUGAACCAGAAAGCUCCUGAGGUCAGGAGCUGCCGUCUUUGCC